GCAGAAUUGUAGCUUAGGACUGGACUCUCCUUUUGUUUUCUUAGAGUGUAUGUACAUUGACAGGGAAGAAUGCAAUCUGGUUCGCAUUUUCAGAGAUGUUGCGAACGUUCUUUUAACUUUUAUCCAGCUCUUCGCCCACAGUGGGCGUAAGACUUCGGGGGGAAGCCGCCGGUUUGCCACUGCGAUAAGCGGAUGUUUUCUUGCGACGAUCACGCCUUGUCUCUCCUCCAUGUUCAUGGUGCUGCCGUCAGGAAGGGCCCA
This is a long non-coding RNA of Selaginella moellendorffii, 261 nucleotides long. RefSeq lists it as uncharacterized. Lineage: Eukaryota; Viridiplantae; Streptophyta; Lycopodiopsida; Selaginellales; Selaginellaceae. The record is from RefSeq and is a predicted model, not a curated record. The transcript has 3 exons.